RNAcentral lists this ribosomal RNA (440 nucleotides) under uncultured bacterium. Its description in RNAcentral is "partial 16S ribosomal RNA". It matches the Rfam family "Bacterial small subunit ribosomal RNA", at positions 338 to 795 of the family's 1533-position model. The record is from RNAcentral.
CCUACGGGAGACAGCAGUGGGGGAUAUUUCACACUGUGGGAAACCCUGCUGCAGCGACGCCGCGUGUGGGAAGACGGUCCUCUGGAUUGUAAACCACUGUCCCCAGGGACGACGAUGACGGUACCUGGGGAGGAAGCUCCGGCUAACUACGUGCCAGCAGCCGCGGUAAUACGUAGGGAGCGAGCGUUGUCCGGAAUUACUGGGUGUAAAGGGAGCAUAGGCGGGGAUGCAAGUUGGGUGUCAAAACUACCGGCUCAACUGGUAGUCGCACUCAAAACUGCAGCUCUUGAGUGAAGUAGAGGCAGGCGGAAUUCCUAGUGUAGCGGUGAAAUGCGGAGAUAUUAGGAGGAACACCAGUGGCGAAGGCGGCCUGCUGGGCUUUUACUGACGCUGAGGCUCGAAAGUGUGGGGAGCAAACAGGAUUAGAUACCCGGGUAGUC